RNAcentral lists this ribosomal RNA (1081 nucleotides) under uncultured bacterium. RNAcentral describes it as "bacterial SSU rRNA". It matches the Rfam family "Bacterial small subunit ribosomal RNA", at positions 10 to 1087 of the family's 1533-position model. The record is from RNAcentral.
AGUUUGAUCCUGGCUCAGAAUGAACGCUGGCGGCGUGCUUAACACAUGCAAGUCGAACGGUAACAGGAGAAGCUUGCUUCUUGCUGACGAGUGGCGCACGGGUGAGUAAUGCAUAGGUAACGUGCCCCUUAGUCUGGGAUAGCCACUGGAAACGGUGAAUAAUACUGGAUACUCCUUCUACCUUGAUGGUAGUUGGGAAAGUUUUUCGCUAAGGGAUCGGCCUAUGUUGUAUCAGGUAGUUGGUGAGGUAAUGGCUCACCAAGCCUAUGACACAUAGCGGGUCUGAGAGGAUGAUCCGCCACACUGGUACUGAGACACGGACCAGACUCCUACGGGAGGCAGCAGUGGGGAAUAUUGCACAAUGGACGAAAGUCUGAUGCAGCAACGCCGCGUGGAGGAUGACACAUUUCGGUGCGUAAACUCCUUUUAUAUAAGAAGAUAAUGACGGUAUUAUAUGAAUAAGCACCGGCUAACUCCGUGCCAGCAGCCGCGGUAAUACGGAGGGUGCAAGCGUUAUUCGGAAUCACUGGGCGUAAAGGGUGCGUAGGCGGUUUGGAAAGUCAGAUGUGAAAGCCUACAGCUUAACUGUAGAACUGCAUUUGAAACUUCCAGACUAGAAUACUGAAGGGGCAGAUGGAAUUAGUGGUGUAGGGGUAAAAUCCGUAGAUAUCACUAGGAAUACCGAAAGCGAAAGCGAUCUGCUGGGAAGUUAUUGACGCUGAGGCACGAAAGCGUGGGGAGCAAACGGGAUUAGAUACCCCGGUAGUCCACGCCCUAAACGAUGAAUGCUAGUCGUCGGAAAGCUCGUCUUUUCGGUGAUGCAGUUAACACAUUAAGCAUUCCGCCUGGGGGAGUACGGUCGCAAGAUUAAAACUCAAGGAAUAGACGGGGACCCGCACAAGUGGUGGGAGCAUGGUGGUUUUAUUUCGAAGAUACGCGAAGAACCUUACCUAGCCUUGACAUUGAUAGAAUCUUGGUAGAGAUACCGGGAGUGGCCUGCUUGGCAGGAAACUUGAAAAACAGGUGCCUGCACGGGCUGUUCGUUCAGCUUCGGUGUCGUGAGAAUGGUUGGGUUAGGUUC